This 253-nucleotide ribosomal RNA is filed under the name uncultured bacterium. RNAcentral's name for it is "partial 16S ribosomal RNA". It matches the Rfam family "Bacterial small subunit ribosomal RNA", at positions 524 to 776 of the family's 1533-position model. The record is from RNAcentral.
UACGUAGGGUGCGAGCGUUGCUCGGAAUCACUGGGCGUAAAGGGUGCGUAGGCGGGUCUUUAAGUCAGGGGUGAAAUCCUGGAGCUCAACUCCAGAACUGCCUUUGAUACUGAAGAUCUUGAGUUCGGGAGAGGUGAGUGGAACUGCGAGUGUAGAGGUGAAAUUCGUAGAUAUUCGCAAGAACACCAGUGGCGAAGGCGGCUCACUGGCCCGAUACUGACGCUGAGGCACGAAAGCCAGGGGAGCGAACGGG